This is a non-coding RNA of Pelobates cultripes (western spadefoot toad), 218 nucleotides long. Lineage: Eukaryota; Metazoa; Chordata; Amphibia; Anura; Pelobatidae. The record is from the annotation of a GenBank genome assembly.
CAAUCCAAUUCCCCCAAUAACGAGACGACACUUCGUUUUGAGGUCAAGCAGAACUGACUGUACUGGCACAUACAGCCUCUUUUAUUCACAAUCCACAAACAUAGUACUGCCCACAGGGUUUUGAAAUACAACCAAUCAAUCCUUACAAUACACACAGACACUCCCAUACAAAAUCCUCCCCUCUGCCUGUGAUAUGAUUAUUGAACACAAUGGUUAAU